RNA transcript from Asparagus officinalis (garden asparagus), 2433 nucleotides. It is a transcript of the gene named protein LEO1 homolog, with no coding region annotated. NCBI's taxonomy places the organism in Eukaryota, Viridiplantae, Streptophyta, Magnoliopsida, Asparagales, Asparagaceae. The transcript is spliced from 13 exons. The record is from RefSeq and is a predicted model, not a curated record.
AAAAUAUUUCCGACCAAAGAGAGAGAGAGAGAGGAGAGAGAGAGUGAGAGAGAGAGCGCUAAGCUCUCAGAGAAUCGAGAGAAAAUGGCCGGCGAUCGAGAGAUCGGAGACGAAACGAGGAAUCGAAUGAUGCAGAACCUCUUCGGUGAGCAAUCGGAGGACGAGGAGGAGGAAGAGGAGGUCGAUUCCGAGCACGACGUCGCCGCCAAUCACUCCGAUUACCAGUCGGAUGAAGGGGAAGGAGAGGCAGAGCAUGAUGGUGAAGGUCAAGGUGAAGCUGAGGGACAGGGGGAAGCUGAAGUAGAAAGUGAAGGGGAAGCACGUUUAGUGGAUCAUGAUCAAGGAGAGAGCGAGGGAGAAAGAAUCCAGAGUUCCCCAGAAAAAGAAGUUAGUGAACAACAACAGAUGGAGAGCGAAGGUAAAGAUGCAGAAAGUGAGGAAGAAUAUGGACAGAGGGUAGCAACAAGCAGAAGACGGGAAGUAAUUGGUAGCGAGUCUGAGGGAUCUGGAGAUAAUCAUUAUGCUGAUCAUGAUAAUGAAGAAGAGGAGGUUGAUCAAGCAAGGAAGGAUAGCAGGUCUCCGGAGGAGCAAAAAGACGAUGAAGCUGUUCGUAAGGUGUUUGGAGAUUCUGAUGAUGAUGAAGCUGAAUACGGUGUUCAGAACGAGCAAGAACAAGAUUCACACAGAUCUCCUAUGGAGGAGGAUGUCGACGACUAUGAUAAAGAUUUGAGACCAGAAGAUAUGGUGCCAGAUGAAGAUGUACAAUAUGAGUCAGAAGAUGAACGUCAUGAACAGAAACCCAAGGAGAAGCCAGUUGGUCCCCCAUUGGAGAUGGAAAUUCCGCUGCGCCCUCCUCCAGGUCGACCUGAUAGGAUGAACAUGAUUAGAGUAUCUAACAUCAUGGGCAUUGAACCAAAACCUUUUGAUCCAAAGACAUAUGUGGAAGAGGAUGUUUUUGUGACAGAUGAAUCUGGAACAAAAAAACGCAUACGCCUAGAAGACAAUAUUGUGCGUUGGAGAAACGUCAAGAGACGUGAUGGCAGAACAUCUAUAGAAAGCAAUGCACGUUUUGUAAAGUGGAGUGAUGGAAGUAUGCAACUGUUAAUUGGGAAUGAAGUUCUAAACCUAACCGUUCAAGAGGCACUUCAUGACCAAACCCACCUUUUCCUUCGCCAUGGAAAGGGAAUUUUGCAAUCACAAGGGAGGCUCUUAAAGAAGAUGAGGUUUAUGCCGUCUUCGUUGACAUCAAAGUCUCACCGAUUAUUGACUGCUCUUGUUGAUUCACGUCAUAAGAAAGUCUAUAAGGUGAAAAAUUGUAUUACAGACAUUGAUCCAGAGAGAGAGAAGGAGGAGAAAGAAAAGGUUGAAGGCCAAACGAUUAGGGCCAAUGAACUUCUUCAUCGAAAACGUGAAAAAGUGAAAAGCAAAUACACACAAACAUACCGUAGGGAACGGCAACUUUCUCCAGGAUUCUUGGAAGAUGGUCCUGAAGAGGAAGAAGAAGCUGAUGAUUAUUACAGCUCUCGUCGGCGAAAUCGUUUUGAGGAAGAUCUAGAAGCAGAAGCACGAGCUGAGAAGCGCAUUAUUAAUGCCAAAAGGUCAAAUGUGAACAAGAAUGUUCCUCGCAAGACAUCCUUGCCUGCUGCUCGUCCAUCCAAGCGUCCUGUAUAUUCUGAGAGUGAAAGAGAGGAGUCAGAGUAUGAAACGGAUGGGGAGGAUAUUGAGCGGUCACCGACUCACGGGGACGAACUACCAGACCAUGAAGAUGAAUAUGAAGAUGAUGAGGAAGAAGAAGCUGUAACAAACUCAGAAGAGGAAGAGGAGGAACCAAGGAAAAAGAAGGAAACUGGAGGAAGCAGUCGCAAGCGCAAGGAGAUCGAGUCAGAUGAGGAUUCUCCUCCCAGAAAGGCAGCACCAGCUCAACGCAGAAAGGCAGUUGUGUUUGAUAGCGAUGAGGAUUGAAUAUGACAGUUCCAGGGCCUAAAACUGUAGAUAUGCAAAAGAGAGAUCCAAUAAAAAUUUCCACCUUUUCCAUUCUCCUUUUUUUUUAAUUUUAUUUAUGCAAGAGUCGUAUAUUCAAAGGGAAAAUAGGAUCCGGUUCAUCCGUGGUGACAAACUUUGGAUGUCUCCGACAAAAGGCGUAUUCGUUGGAGGCAUCAGUUAUCAUCAGAUGGUAUCUAGUUAUAGAUCUGUGGCAGUGAGAAGCUUAUCAGUUUUAACAGAAAUAAUAUAAUUGAGGAUUUUGCUAAGCCAUGCUUUUAAAUUUCCAAGUGUUUGUGAGGCCAACUUGGAUUAUAUGCUACUCCUUAGUUUCUUUUUUAUUGAAGAAAAAAAAAAAUUCUGUGGUUGGAGAAUUUCUGUUGAUGGAUGGCAAUUUACCUUGGGAUUUUCGUUCGGUGCUGAGUUAUACCUUCUUUUAAAGUUUUGUCUGCA